UGGUAAAUAUAAUUUAUUCUGUUUCUCAACUGUAUCCUGCUCAAGAUUAUCCUUGAUGAUUUCUCUGCAGAUAAUUAUGUUUUACCAAAUGGCUCUAUCAGUUUGCCUUUUUACAUUAUUAAGUUUUCAUUAUGUACUGAGGAAUAUGAAAUUACUUCUUAUACCUUAAACCUGGGGACAUCCAGAACCCAAUGAGUUAGAUGCUGUGUUUUUAGACACGAUGAGGUAGAUGCAGUGUUUUUAGAAACGUGUGCUGACUUGGUCGUAGUUAGCAUAGGUCGUAUGGUCUUGAAAGAAAUCCAAGUCUGGUUUUAUUCCUAAAAGGUUCAUGGUCUGUAGCGAGGUAGAGAAAUUCCAGCCUUUGUAUUACCUCCUCGGAAACACUAGAGAUUUUACGACCUCCGUGCUUGAGGGGGAGCGAGGGGUGGGGAAUGGUGGUGGGAAGUAGUUCUGCGUCUCAGGCCUCCUUUCGAAGGAUGGGGGUUUGGCGACGAUUAAGUGCUGUUUGGAGAAGUGCUUUAUGAUGAUGCACCUUACGUACGUGCAGACACAGGCACCCAGAAUUUAGAGAAGAAUGAUUGAGCACCUAUUAAUUGCCACACACUGAGCUGGAAGCUAAAGAUAAAAAUAGAGUAGAACACCUCUCGGACCAGGCCGGUGGGGCCCUGACUACCUGAGAGGCAAAUUCUAGAGAAGCAGCCACGAAACAGCACAGGGCAGCUAAAACGUGCUCUCUCUUCUAUAGAUGAGGUCGUGCAACAUGUGUCUUUAAGUUAAGGAUCUUAGGUGAAGGAUCCUUACAUUAUUUGAGUGACCCCUAAAUACAAGUCCACGUGUCCUUAUAAGUGAGAGGAGAUGGAGUUUGGAGGCCGGCACACGGAAGGCGAGGCUGGUACUGAGACGGGGGAGACGCUUUCACAGGCCAGGGGCACCUGCAGCCACCAGAGCCAGAGGAGGCAGGAAGGAGGCUCCCUGGAGCCUCUGGAGGAAUUUGAUCCUGGACUUCUGGCUUCCAGAACUGUGAGAAGAUAAAUGUGCAUUGUUUUAAGCCACUAAGUUUGAGGAAAUGUUGUCAUAGCAGCCGUGGGAAGCGAAUCGGUCUUUUUAGGUAAAUAAUACAGCUUUUAGGGAAUAUCUUCUUAGAAAUAUAGGGAAUUUGAGCCCAGAACCCCUAGAAGUACUUACCUAAUUGCUAACCUCUACUAGGUACUGAGAGCUCUUUGGAGGGCUUCAUUCCUUUAACACCCCUGGGGUACUGCUGAUGCUCCCCACUUACACAGAAGACCAUAGACAAGGCAGGUGAGGGGUGGUCCCCAUGGUGGCUGCAGCCCCUGAGGGUCUGAUUGUGAGAGAGACGUCUCUAUCCCAUAUGCAAAGGCUGAGAAAUGGCCCCAAAUGCAUUUCCUUUAAGUGGUCAUUUCUUGUGAGACAAAAAGAUAACAGGAAUUAGGAAAUCAGAAUCAGGAGGAAUAUACAACUGUUUUAUUGUACUUGAGGUUGUAGUUCAAAAUGGGAACAGGUUCGUAAGUCGAGUAGAUGGCAACGGCUGAUGCAGCCCCUCCCCACACACAGCAGUAGAACGAUGUUGAGAUCGUGCAGAGUACUGUGUGAUAUUCUCCAGAUUUGGUGCUUCAAGAUAGAUUUUUCGUAAAAAAAACUCUGCAAAGAUAGACAUUAAAUUUAUUGAAGCUGAACUAGCAGAAGCUUUGUCAAUUACCUAUACUGUAACUGCUUUAAAAAGGAAAACAAAGAAACCUCUGAUGUCACCAUUAUCUAAACUGGUGUUAAGAAUUUGAAAGGUAUUGAGAACAUGAAUUUGUAAUUAAAAUACAUUAUAAUCUAAAUAAAUCGUAUUUUUUAAAAAGUGGUUCAUUUGAAAUCCAGAGAGAUAUGAAAAAAAUCAUGUGGACUUCCAAAUUAUUUUCUAUUUUAGCUUUCUAGAUGUAGUGCAGUAAAAUGUACUAUUUCUUACGUGUUUUAAUAUUUUGAUGUUAGGAGUUGUAGUAUCAAACAUGCCUUAUGAGAGUCAAAAUUUUGGGAUACUACAAUAUCUAAAACAAUGAUGCUUAGCUAAGAGUUAAGAAAUUAGAACCAAACUCUGAAACUGCUAAUAACAAAAUAUAAUAAAGGAUAAUGACACACACAGAUAAGACCACUCUUUCUCUGUAUAUAAAAAAAUUUGUUCUUUGUAGCAACAAAAAUGAAAUAGAACAAAUCAUAAUAUACUUUGUAAUGUAUAACCCUUAUAUAAGAUUUAGUUAUAUUAAAAAAUUAAUUUCUAUGUUGAAUAAUACUGUAAAUUUAGUAAUCAAAUAAAGAGGAAAAGCUAGUAGCUGAAAAAAAGGAGGUAAACUGAAAGCUUUCCUAUCAGAAUAAGAUACAAACCCACUAGGAAACAGCUGCAUAUGUGAAUUACGAGCUUUGUAAGUGAUGGGAUGUAAACAUUCUCCUAUGUAACUCUUCCUUAUUGAAUUGAGGAGAGGAGCAGCACAGAUCUAUGAAAAUGCUAUGAGCUUUAUGUAUCGCAAUUAUUUUCUUCCAAAGCUUUAUCAAAUUUUAUCGUGACCUACAGAUUCUUCUGUUUUUAUCAGGGUGGAAUCGGAAUGCUUUUAGAUUUGUAAUUUCCAUGUUGGCAGGAGGAAGGGAGAAUGGGAUGGGGAGGGGUCCGCACACACAGGCCUGGAGUUGGAGGGAGGUCCAGGGUUCAGCUGCGCUAGGGUCACCUGGUGCAGGGCGCUGCCUGGGGUGUGGUGUUACCACAGUGGGCUGUGCAAAGUCUCAGGGCGGCUUUUGCUUUACUGGCCUCGAGCCGAAUGGAGAAAGUGAACGGAGAAGGCUGGGGUCACAGAAUUGCAUCCUGCAGGCCCUGCCUUGCUGACCCGGGGCUGGAGUUUGCGUUUCGGGUGCCGCUGUGCAGCUAGAGGGAACCUUCAGGGAUACGAUUCGAAUCUGUCAUCUUCUUUGGAGUAAAUAUGUUUCCUUUAUUCCUUUGAUGUUUGUAUGAAUAGUGGCAUGGUAUCUAUACUGAAAGUGCAUAUGAGAUGGAAAAGUACAAGGAAGGAAUGUUCCUGUGACCUGGUCUAUACCUGACUAGCACCUCAUGGAUUUCCUUCUGGCUUUUUCUGGUGUUUAUUCUGUAAAUCAAACUCAUCCUCGAGAUAGAAUUUUCUAUCCUGCUUUUUAGCAUUCUCAUUAUAAAAUGAUAAUUUUCAUAAUUUGCUAAGAAAUAUCCAUGAAUUACUGUCAACCCCCUGCUUAAGGUUCUUCUGUAUCAGUGGAGAGGCUUUGGGCAGGUGUUCCCACAGGAGGAGCCUCUGUUAAUGACACGCUCCUUUGUUCCUUUGCUCUUCUGUCUGGAAAGCAGCACCCGUCCUUGCUCCACUGGCUCAGGCGUCUGUGACUAGGGUGACAGCAUUGCUCGGGAAUCCCAGCUGAUAGCUAGGCCUGUCCCCUGGUAGAGUCCCACAGCGGGGAAUGCUGGGCUUCUGGGCCCGGCAGUUCUCCUGAGAGCUCAGGCUGCCUGCUCUCCUUUCUUGGGAAUGCUUCAGUGCACGGGGCUUUUCAGGAGUUUUCUUCAAUAACACUAGAAAAGAGAUGUUCUAGGCUACACAAUUUGCUGGGGGAGUUUUUCUGUGCAGAAGCAUACUAUAUGUCCAUUUUUUUCCCCCAAAAACAAUCACCUCAAUUUGUGAAGACAGAAAAUCCAAUCAUCAAGUGUUGCCUGAAAAGCAAAUACAUAUCACUCUCAUUCUUAGACAUAAUGUGGCUUCUGCAGACCACACACCACUCCCUUCUAAAGAAAACAGCACGGACUCCCCUCCAGGAAGAGCUUUUCCUGCUGAAUUUAUAUCAGGAUCCAUCAAAGAAAAGCAACGGAAACGCAGGUGCCUGCAGCCAUUAAACAGAAAGACAAGUUUUUUUUUUUUUUUUUUGGCAAAUUUAGAAACUGGUGAGGAAACAUUUCAUGCUAGAGCAACUUCUGUAAUUAAGGUAUUUUCUUCCUCUAAAAUAGAAGGGUUUGUGUGAGUUCAA
This is a long non-coding RNA of Cercocebus atys (sooty mangabey), 4032 nucleotides long. RefSeq lists it as uncharacterized. The transcript is spliced from 2 exons. The record is from RefSeq and is a predicted model, not a curated record. Lineage: Eukaryota; Metazoa; Chordata; Mammalia; Primates; Cercopithecidae.